Molecule: long non-coding RNA, 277 nt
Filed under: Brassica napus (rape)
Lineage: Eukaryota; Viridiplantae; Streptophyta; Magnoliopsida; Brassicales; Brassicaceae
Description: long non-coding RNA (BNAP_LNC018654)
Source: RNAcentral
UUGAGUUUAGAAUUUAGCUUUUAAGGUUUAGGGUUUAGAGUUUAGGGUUUAGGGUUUAGGGUUUAGGGUUUAGGGUUUAGCGUUUAGAGUUUAGGGUUUAGAGUUUAGGAUUUAGGGUUUAGGGUUUAGGAUUUAGGGUUUAGGGUUUAGAGUUGAGAAAUGAGGUUUUGGGGAUAAGAUUUCAAAUUUUAAAAAAUAAAAAAAUUAAAAUUUUCAAAAGAUAAAAUGUUAUUUUGGUCAUUUUAGUUUUUGAAUGCUAUUUUUGUGAUAUAAACUU